GUCUGCCUGCCCUGUGAUUUAAUUUAACGGCUGCGGUAUCUUAACCGUGCAAAGGUAGCAUAAUAAAUUGUUCUCUAAAUAAGGACUAGUAUGAAUGGCUCCACGAAGGCUCAACUGUCUCCCCCAUCUAAUUAAUGAAACUGAUCUCCCCGUGAAAAAGCGAGAAUAUAUAUAUAAGACGAGAAGACCCCAUGGAGCUUCAAACUCACCACCAACUACUAAAAAAACCAAAGGAAAAAGUAAUAAAUGUUAUGUGUAGUUUUUGAUUGGGGCAAUCCUGGAGUAAAACAAAUCCUCCAGAAUGAACGGAGUAAUAUCCUUAUACAAGAAUCACAACUCAAAUAAUCAAAAAAAUUGACAUUAAUGAUCCAAAUUUUUGAUCAAUGAAAUAAGUUACCCUGGGGAUAACAGCGCAAUCCAUUUCAAGAGUCCAUAUCGACAAAUGGGUUUACGACCUCGAUGUUGGAUCGGGGUACCCCGGUGGCGCAGCCGCUACCAAAGGUUCGUUUGUUCAACGAUUAACAACCCCACGUGAUCU
Molecule: ribosomal RNA, 538 nt
Filed under: Afrixalus nigeriensis (Nigeria banana frog)
Lineage: Eukaryota; Metazoa; Chordata; Amphibia; Anura; Hyperoliidae
Description: partial large subunit ribosomal RNA
Rfam family: Bacterial large subunit ribosomal RNA
Source: RNAcentral